CAGUUGGCUUCCCCAGGCGCAACGAGGCCGGAAAUGCUGGGCCCUUGGCCAGAGUCUGAUCUGACCUUCGCCCUCUGGUAGCAAAAAGUCUUUUUCACGUAGCACCUACUGGGGGUAGGAGGCAAAAAAGGGGCCACCGGGGAGCUCCUCCUACUCCUGGGCCUGCCCUUGCAGGUCAGCGCUGUUGCAGUGGGAGAGGGGCCACUGCCAGGCCAGUCAAGGGAGGCCCUUGCUUCAUGCGCAAAAUGUAAGGCAGGCCAAGAAAACUCAAGACCACAGGUAAGAAGACAGAGACACUGCAAAGAAGCAUCUGGCUUCAGAACUUGGGUCCAGUUAUCAUUAGAAGUGUUCUCUAGAUGACAGAGGAAUCCCAGGAUGAUGGCAAGAAAGCCCUGGCCUGCCAGGAACUAGAUCGAAUGCUCCUGGAGCUCUUCUGGCCCUGACCCACUGGACGAGGCACACGGCUGAGGCCUCCUUGUGGCACAGUCCUAGGACCAACCAUCCUUGGCUUCUGCAAGCCACAUCUGGGGUGCUUUGAGCUCCCAGGCCAUGUCGGGCUCAGCCCCCUUCCACUAGGCUGAGCUGCUGAGCGGCUGAUAUACUGUGGGCUCUCUCUCUUCAAAGCACCUCAGGACAGUCUCUUCUGGUGGUUUGAACAGUGACCUCCAAGCCUGUUCCUGCUUGGGCUCUAUCCUGGUCAGUCUUUGCUUGUGGACUAUUGUCUUUUAUUCUUUUUUAGAAUUUACUUAUUUGUUCAUGAGACGCAUGGAGAGAGAGGCAGAGACAUAGGCAGAGGGGGAAAGCAGGCUCCCUGCGGGGAGCGUGAUGCAGGACUCCAUCCCAGGAUCCCAGGAUCAUGACGUGAGCCAAAGGCAGCCGCUCAACCACUGAGCCACCCAGGUGCCCCGACUAUUGUCAUUUAAAUCAAUCUGCCUGCAGAAUUCUGGGAGAAGAAACCGAAGGCUCUGAGUCUUAUGUUACAGCCUUGAAACUUACAGUGAGGGAUGUAGGGGUUUUGAACAGUCCCAACCCUCUGUGAAGCUUGGAAUCCGACAAGGCCUACAGGUGGAAAUAGAUCCCUCAUGGUGACUUAUAUACCUUGGCCUUUACUUUGUAGCUAUUCUUUUAUUAAACCCUCAAGUCUUUCUACUUCAAGUGGAUAAUCUGCUUCCUACUAUUACCCUGGUGGGUACAGUAGCUCAAAAGAUACAAAACCAAACUAGUUUAAAAAAACAAAACAAAACAAAAAACACUUGUUUCAAUGGACCAGAGCUUGAAGCCCUGAGAUGGGCAGCUACGUGCUAAGACUGCUCAAGAUUUAGUGGCCCAUCUGUGCCUGGGCCUUCUGUUCCUGCUUCCCACAUUGGUCUUCCCUUCACAUCCCAGGCCCUGAGAUCCUGCGGCCUUGUUUGGGAGAAAGAGAGAACUCAAUCUUUCCUCAGGGAGGAAACCCAGAGCCAAAGGCCAUGGGCUCUGGGCCCCAGAGCCCUGGAGGUGAAAGGGAGAUCCCUCAUUUCAGGCUGGCUGUCCCCGCACUGGCCUGAGACCGAUGGCCAAUGUAAGGACCACCUGUCUUUGUCAGACUUUAGAGACUUUUUUUUUUUUGUUUUUUUAACUUUAGAGACUUUCUUAGGUAAUCUCUACUUUGUCUGAGUUUUCUGCUCACUCCACCCCAUCUGGGGGUCUCUCCUAUCUUUUCCUUCUGCUAAUGAUCAGUAGGCUGGCUGAGGCCCGGGAUGCCCUGUACUCCUUCCCCUUCUCACCAGGUAUGGACACAAUAAAGCUCCCUGCCCUGAAAAUAGCACCCGGUAUCCCCAUCAACUACUACUGAUCAUUGCUGAAAAUUCACCAUGAACCCCUAAGACUCUGAUGAGACAUAUUCCAGCGGCGUGUAUUGGAUGAAUUGGAACCACCAUAUAAAUGAGUUUAUCAGAGCUCUACCUGAGGAAAGAUCUUGAUAAAAGGAAGCACGUAUAAGUCACAGCUCUCAGCUCAGACUUGCACAAGUCUCACAGGGCAUUUAGGAGUCACUGAACGGAGAAGCCCAGGGUUACCUGCUUUGAGGCAUACAGCGUCCUGGGCAUCAGUGUCUCUUCACCUCUUGGUUCUAUUUCCCUCCCUGCUACUUCUAUUUCCAGCAGGCAGUCCUCACUGCAGGUGGUGACCACCAGAAAGGAUGACCAGCCCUGGUCUCCAGGCUCACUCCCGUCUUCUGGGAGAAAGCACGGAACCUUAUGCUUUAGCUCCUGCAGCCCCUGCGUGUUGCUGGCCUGCUCAGUCCUCACACUACUCACUCUGUGGCCUCAGACACGCCUCUCCCUUUCCAAUGAAACCAGCUCCUCCCCAGACAACAGGUACUGAGAGUUGGGGUGCUAUAGCCCCCCAAGGAGGAUCAGGGUGGUGCCAUCUGCCUAGAGAAGGGAGAGAGUGGGGAGGAGGGAGAGAUGGGCUUUGGGAAGCAAGGAGGAGAAACAGAGGCACAAUGCCUCACCCUUCUCCCUCCACCUGGCUCAGCUUCUCUGACCUUCCUAACCUUGUCUCCAGGCUCAGGCUCUUGCAGCCUCCAUGCCUCUCUGGUUGGGCAUUUCGGCAGCACACAGGAAUGUUUAUGGUCUCUUCCUCUCCACUAGAUGGAAAGCUCCUCCAGGCCAAAAGAUAUAUAUUACUUAAGUAAAUAACAAAUGCUCCCUGCUACUCUGAACUCUGUAAAAGUUGCUAACACGCACACAUAGUCCAGCAUGGAUAUCUCUAGUUAGUGGGUAGCCUUCCACAUGAUCAUUCCAGACUCUGAGGUCUUGGAGCAGCAUCCUCCCCUGGGGCCUUCUGAGAUAUCCAUGCACAUCUGGCUAGUGAGCACUUGAAAUGUGGCUAGUACAACCAAGAAACUGAAUUUUUAACUUGGACUUUGCAUCCAUUUAAAUUUAAAUAGCCACCAGCAUCUAGUGGCUGCCGUCUUGGCUGGCACAGCCUUGGAGCUCUCCAGUGGAUCUUCCUAUUCCAGCAGGAAGGCAGAGAAGAGGAGAAAUGUGGGAGAGGAUUCUGAGACAGGCCUGGGAAGUGGCAUUCACCUCUUCUGCUGAUGUUCUGAUGGCCCAAACCCACCACUUGACCACAGCUAACCGCAGUGGAGCCUGAGAGCUGUAAUCUUGCCGGUGGAG
Long non-coding RNA from Canis lupus familiaris (dog), 3158 nucleotides. RefSeq lists it as uncharacterized. The transcript has 3 exons. The record is from RefSeq and is a predicted model, not a curated record. Lineage: Eukaryota; Metazoa; Chordata; Mammalia; Carnivora; Canidae.